UACUCGUUCAUACGGUGCGUCGAAAGCGAUACGAAAGGCUGGGAAUCAUGUGUUAAAAACUCUGGACGUGAGAAAGCAAUCAAU
RNAcentral lists this small RNA (84 nucleotides) under Arabidopsis thaliana (thale cress). RNAcentral describes it as "ATSL216830". The record is from RNAcentral. Lineage: Eukaryota; Viridiplantae; Streptophyta; Magnoliopsida; Brassicales; Brassicaceae.